CCGAGCGGUAGAGAUUCUUCGGAAUCUUGAGAGCGGCGUACGGGUGCGGAACACGUGUGCAACCUGCCUUUAUCUGGGGGAUAGCCUUUCGAAAGGAAGAUUAAUACCCCAUAAUAUAUUGAAUGGCAUCAUUUGAUAUUGAAAACUCCGGUGGAUAGAGAUGGGCACGCGCAAGAUUAGAUAGUUGGUGAGGUAACGGCUCACCAAGUCAACGAUCUUUAGGGGGCCUGAGAGGGUGAUCCCCCACACUGGUACUGAGACACGGACCAGACUCCUACGGGAGGCAGCAGUGAGGAAUAUUGGACAAUGGGUGAGAGCCUGAUCCAGCCAUCCCGCGUGAAGGACGACGGCCCUAUGGGUUGUAAACUUCUUUUGUAUAGGGAUAAACCUAGAUACGUGUAUCUAGCUGAAGGUACUAUACGAAUAAGCACCGGCUAACUCCGUGCCAGCAGCCGCGGUAAUACGGAGGGUGCAAGCGUUAUCCGGAUUUAUUGGGUUUAAAGGGUCCGUAGGCGGAUUUGUAAGUCAGUGGUGAAAUCUCACAGCUUAACUGUGAAACUGCCAUUGAUACUGCAAGUCUUGAGUGUUGUUGAAGUAGCUGGAAUAAGUAGUGUAGCGGUGAAAUGCAUAGAUAUUACUUAGAACACCAAUUGCGAAGGCAGGUUACUAAGCAACAACUGACGCUGAUGGACGAAAGCGUGGGGAGCGAACAGGAUUAGAUACCCUGGUAGUCCACGCCGUAAACGAUGCUAACUCGUUUUUGGGAUUUAAAUUUCAGAGACUAAGCGAAAGUGAUAAGUUAGCCACCUGGGGAGUACGAACGCAAGUUUGAAACUCAAAGGAAUUGACGGGGGCCCGCACAAGCGGUGGAUUAUGUGGUUUAAUUCGAUGAUACGCGAGGAACCUUACCAAGGCUUAAAUGGGAAAUGACAGGUUUAGAAAUAGACUUUUCUUCGGACAUUUUUCAAGGUGCUGCAUGGUUGUCGUCAGCUCGUGCCGUGAGGUGUUAGGUUAAGUCCUGCAACGAGCGCAACCCCUGUCACUAGUUGCCAUCAUUAAGUUGGGGACUCUAGUGAGACUGCCUACGCAAGUAGAGAGGAAGGUGGGGAUGACGUCAAAUCAUCACGGCCCUUACGCCUUGGGCCACACACGUAAUACAAUGGCCGGUACAGAGGGCAGCUACACUGCGAAGUGAUGCAAAUCUCGAAAGCCGGUCUCAGUUCGGAUUGGAGUCUGCAACUCGACUCUAUGAAGCUGGAAUCGCUAGUAAUCGCGCAUCAGCCAUGGCGCGGUGAAUACGUUCCCGGGCCUUGUACACACCGCCCGUCAAGCCAUGGAAGUCUGGGGUACCUGAAGUCGGUGACCGUAACAGGAGC
Molecule: ribosomal RNA, 1376 nt
Filed under: Chryseobacterium sp.
Lineage: Bacteria; Pseudomonadati; Bacteroidota; Flavobacteriia; Flavobacteriales; Weeksellaceae
Description: bacterial SSU rRNA
Rfam family: Bacterial small subunit ribosomal RNA
Source: RNAcentral